This 500-nucleotide ribosomal RNA is filed under the name uncultured bacterium. Its description in RNAcentral is "partial 16S ribosomal RNA". It matches the Rfam family "Bacterial small subunit ribosomal RNA", at positions 30 to 523 of the family's 1533-position model. The record is from RNAcentral.
AUUGAACGCUGGCGGCAUGCCUUACACAUGCAAGUCGAACGGCAGCACGGGAGCAAUCCUGGUGGCGAGUGGCGAACGGGUGAGUAAUAUACCGGAACGUGCCCAGUCGUGGGGGAUAACGCAGCGAAAGCUGUGCUAAUACCGCAUACGAUCUACGGAUGAAAGCGGGGGAUCGCAAGACCUCGCGCGAUUGGAGCGGCCGAUAUCAGAUUAGCUAGUUGGUGAGGUAAAGGCUCACCAAGGCGACGAUCUGUAGCUGGUCUGAGAGGACGACCAGCCACACUGGAACUGAGACACGGUCCAGACUCCUACGGGAGGCAGCAGUGGGGAAUUUUGGACAAUGGGCGAAAGCCUGAUCCAGCAAUGCCGCGUGCAGGAUGAAGGCCUUCGGGUUGUAAACUGCUUUUGUACGGAACGAAACGGUGAGCUCUAAUACAGUUUGCUAGUGACGGUACCGUAAGAAUAAGCACCGGCUAACUACGUGCCAGCCGCCGCCGUAA